AGUUCAACCAGGAAGCUGGACAAUCCAACUCUGGAACUUAUUUGAGCUUUUUAGAUAGAAUCUGAGGCAACUAAAUUUCCAAAACAAGCACCCAGUUCUUUUUAAUACUUAUAUGUUGCAUUAAGCUUAGGUGACGGGCAUAAGUUUGUUUAGCUUUCUUACGUUUAUUAAUUUUAUAAUUCAAUUUCAGCACUUUAAUUGACUAAAAGAGCCUGUGGGUACAAAAUCGUCUACAUAUUCACUUUUUAACCUAACUACAAGAAUUAGUUUCAUUAUCCAAACCCUUAUUUCUCUAAAAUUUUUGGUAUGAUUUUUUUUUUUGGAUACUGCCCCCAACCU
This 339-nucleotide long non-coding RNA is filed under the name Elaeis guineensis (African oil palm). RNAcentral describes it as "long non-coding RNA (EGUI_LNC082133)". Lineage: Eukaryota; Viridiplantae; Streptophyta; Magnoliopsida; Arecales; Arecaceae. The record is from RNAcentral.